RNAcentral lists this ribosomal RNA (1366 nucleotides) under uncultured bacterium. RNAcentral describes it as "bacterial SSU rRNA". It matches the Rfam family "Bacterial small subunit ribosomal RNA". The record is from RNAcentral.
GAGUUUGAUCCUGGCUCAGGACGAACGCUGGCGGCGUGCCUAACACAUGCAAGUCGAACGAAGCAUAUUUAUAUGCUUAGUGGCGGACGGGUGAGUAACGCGUGAACAAUCUGCCCUAUACAGAGGAAUAGCCUCGGGAAACCGGGAUUAAAACCACAUGACACUUUAGUACCGCAUGGUACAGAGGUCAAAUUGAUUUAGAGGUAUGGGAUGAGUUCGCGUCUGAUUAGCUAGUUGGUAAGGUAAUGGCUUACCAAGGCGACGAUCAGUAGCCGGCCUGAGAGGGUGAACGGCCACACUGGAACUGAGACACGGUCCAGACUCCUACGGGAGGCAGCAGUGGGGAAUAUUGCACAAUGGAGGAAACUCUGAUGCAGCGACGCCGCGUGAGUGAAGAAGGUCUUCGGAUCGUAAAACUCUGUCCUUGGUGAAGAAAAAAUGACGAUAGCCAAGGAGGAAGCCCCGGCUAACUACGUGCCAGCAGCCGCGGUAAUACGUAGGGGGCGAGCGUUGUCCGGAUCUACUGGGCGUAAAGGGUGAGUAGGCGGUUAUAUGUGUCAGAUGUAAAAGGCUAUGGCUUAACCAUAGUUAGCAUUUGAAACUGUAUGACUUGAGUGCAGGAGAGGUAAGUGGAAUUCCUAGUGUAGCGGUGAAAUGCGUAGAUAUUAGGAGGAACACCAGUGGCGAAGGCGACUUACUGGACUGUAACUGACGCUGAGUCACGAAAGCGUGGGUAGCAAACAGGAUUAGAUACCUGCUGGUCCACGCUAUAAACGAUGAGUGCUAGGUGUUGGCCAGCGAUGGUCAGUGCCGCAGUAAACACAUUAAGCACUCCGCCUGGGGAGUACGGUCGCAAGACUGAAACUCAAAGGAAUUGACGGGGACCCGCACAAGCAGCGGAGCAUGUGGUUUAAUUCGAAGCAACGCGAAGAACCCUACAAAGGCUUGACAUCCCCUUGACAAGUGCAGAGAUGUACUCUCUCCUUCGGGAGCAAGGGUGACAGGUGGUGCAUGGUUGUCGUCAGCUCGUGUCGUGAGAUGUUGGGUUAAGUCCCGCAACGAGCGCAACCCUUAUCCUUAGUUGCCAGCAGGUUAAGCUGGGCACUCUAGGGAGACUGCCGAUGAUAAAUCGGAGGAAGGUGGGGAUGACGUCAAAUCAUCAUGCCCCUUAUGUCUUGGGCUACACACGUGCUACAAUGGUCGGUACAACGGGCAGCGAAAGAGUAAUCUGGAGCAAAUCCCAAUAAACCGAUCUCAGUUCGGAUUGUAGGAUGCAACUCGCCUACAUGAAGUCGGAGUUGCUAGUAAUCGCGAAUCAGAACGUCGCGGUGAAUGCGUUCCCGGGAUCUUGUACAGACCGCCCGUC